RNAcentral lists this long non-coding RNA (233 nucleotides) under Chrysemys picta bellii (western painted turtle). RNAcentral describes it as "lncRNA (ENSCPBG00000015000.1)". The record is from RNAcentral. Lineage: Eukaryota; Metazoa; Chordata; Testudines; Emydidae.
AGUAACUGGUGGAGACCUAUCUGCAUCAAAUCUGGUGCAUGUAGUACUAUUCAAGAAAGAAAAGCAAACAGAAAUAUCUGACUCUUACCAGCAAAGGCAAGGAGAACUGCAGCUAAAAUGCAUUGGACCGUCUGUUUCUUUAAGAAGAAAAAACAGAGCCUGAAUCUCUUGGAGGAAUCUGCUUGCUGAAUAGAAGAAAUAAAUCCUAAAGCAGUAAGUAUGUAGUGAUUUCC